This 289-nucleotide ribosomal RNA is filed under the name uncultured bacterium. RNAcentral describes it as "partial 16S ribosomal RNA". It matches the Rfam family "Bacterial small subunit ribosomal RNA", at positions 29 to 289 of the family's 1533-position model. The record is from RNAcentral.
ACGAACGCUGGCGGCGUGCUUAAGACAUGCAAGUCGAGCGGGGGGACCAGAGCAGCUUGCUGUGAGGGUUCCCUAGCGGCGGACGGGUGGAGUAACGCGUGGGCAACCUACCCGCGAAUCGGGGACAACAGUGGGAAACCGCUGCUAAUACCGGAUGAGCUUUUCUGACCGCAUGGUCGGGGAAGGAAAAGGCAGCCUCUGCAUAGCAAGCUGUCGUUCGCGGAUGGGCCCGCGUCCCAUUAGCUAGUUGGUGGAGGUAACGGCCCACCAAGGCGACGAUGGGUAGCCG